UCACCUAGGUUGAGUGGUAAAGCUCUCGACUUUGAUUCGUCAGGUCGUGGGUUCGAAGCCCGCCACGGUAAGAG
Molecule: non-coding RNA, 74 nt
Organism: Halocaridina rubra (Hawaiian volcano shrimp)
Lineage: Eukaryota; Metazoa; Arthropoda; Malacostraca; Decapoda; Atyidae
Source: the annotation of a GenBank genome assembly